RNAcentral lists this ribosomal RNA (447 nucleotides) under uncultured bacterium. Its description in RNAcentral is "partial 16S ribosomal RNA". It matches the Rfam family "Bacterial small subunit ribosomal RNA", at positions 29 to 523 of the family's 1533-position model. The record is from RNAcentral.
AACGAACGCUGGCGGCAGGCUUAACACAUGCAAGUCGAACGCCCCGCCAGGGGAUUGGCAGACGGGUGAGUAACGCGUGGGAACAUACCCUUUUCUACGGAAUAGCCCUGGGAAACUGGAAAUAAUACCGCAUACGCCCUACGGGGGCAAGGUUUAUCGGGGAAAGAGUGGCCCGCGUGGGAUUAGCUAGUUGGUGGGGUAAAGGCCUACCAAGGCGACCAUCCAUACCUGGUCUGAGAGAAUGAUCAGCAACCUUGGGACAGAGACACGGCCCAGUCUCCUACGGGUAGCAGAGGUGGGGAAUAUUGCACAAAGGGCGCAGGCCUACUCCAGCCAUGCCGCGCGAGUGAUGAAGGCCUUAGGGUUGUAAACCUCUUUCGCCGGUGGACUUAAUGACGGUAGGCGGAGAGGAAGCCCCGGCUACGUGCGUGCAUGAAGCCGCCGGAG